AUUGAACGCUGGCGGCAGGCCUAACACAUGCAAGUCGAGCGAGCGGCGGACGGGUGAGUAAUGUAUGGGGACUGCCCGUUAGAGGGGGAUAACUACUGGAAACGGUAGCUAAUACCGCAUACUAUCGGAUAACCCAUAUGGGAUUAGCUAGUAGGUGAGGUAAUGGCUCACCUAGGCGACGAUCCCUAGCUGGUCUGAGAGGCUGAUCAGACACACGGGAAGUGAUACACGGCCGAGACUCCUACGGAGUCAGCAGUGGCGUAUAUUGCACAAGUGGCGCGAGCCUGAUGCAGCCAUGCCGCGUGUAUGAAGCAGGCCCUAGGGUUGGAAAGUACGGUCAGGCGGGAGGCGUUACCGACAGAAGAAGCACCGGCUAACUCCGUGCAAGCAGCCGCGGUAAUAC
Molecule: ribosomal RNA, 403 nt
Filed under: uncultured bacterium
Lineage: Bacteria
Description: partial 16S ribosomal RNA
Rfam family: Bacterial small subunit ribosomal RNA
Source: RNAcentral